This 439-nucleotide ribosomal RNA is filed under the name Anaplasma sp. MWG-2019. RNAcentral describes it as "bacterial SSU rRNA". It matches the Rfam family "Bacterial small subunit ribosomal RNA", at positions 40 to 507 of the family's 1533-position model. The record is from RNAcentral. Lineage: Bacteria; Pseudomonadati; Pseudomonadota; Alphaproteobacteria; Rickettsiales; Anaplasmataceae.
CGGCAAGCCUAACACAUGCAAGUCGAACGGACUUUACUCAUAGCUUGCUAUGGGUAAAGUUAGUGGCAGACGGGUGAGUAAUGCAUAGGAAUCUGCCCAGUAGUAUGGGAUAGCCACUAGAAAUGGUGGGUAAUACUGUAUAAUCCCUGCGGGGGAAAGAUUUAUCGCUACUGGAUGAGCCUAUGUUAGAUUAGCUAGUUGGUGGGGUAAUGGCCUACCAAGGCGAUGAUCUAUAGCUGGUCUGAGAGGAUGAUCAGCCACACUGGAACUGAGACACGGUCCAGACUCCUACGGGAGGCAGCAGUGGGGAAUAUUGGACAAUGGGCGAAAGCCUGAUCCAGCUAUGCCGCGUGAGUGAGGAAUGCCUUAGGGUUGUAAAACUCUUUCAGUGGGGAAGAUAAUGACGGUACCCACAGAAGAAGUCCCGGCAAACUCCGUG